This 428-nucleotide ribosomal RNA is filed under the name uncultured bacterium. RNAcentral describes it as "bacterial SSU rRNA". It matches the Rfam family "Bacterial small subunit ribosomal RNA", at positions 355 to 776 of the family's 1533-position model. The record is from RNAcentral.
UAGGGAAUCUUCCGCAAUGGGCGAAAGCCUGACGGAGCAACGCCGCGUGAGUGAUGAAGGUUUUCGGAUCGUAAAGCUCUGUUGCCAAGGAAGAACGGCUCGGAGAGUAACUGCUCUGAGCAUGACGGUACUUGAGAAGAAAGCCCCGGCUAACUACGUGCCAGCAGCCGCGGUAAUACGUAGGGGGCAAGCGUUGUCCGGAAUUAUUGGGCGUAAAGCGCGCGCAGGCGGUCUGUUAAGUCUGGUGUUUAAUCCCGGGGCUCAACCCCGGUUCGCAUUGGAAACUGGCAGACUUGAGUGCAGGAGAGGAAAGCGGAAUUCCACGUGUAGCGGUGAAAUGCGUAGAGAUGUGGAGGAACACCAGUGGCGAAGGCGGCUUUCUGGACUGUAACUGACGCUGAGGCGCGAAAGCGUGGGGAGCAAACAGG